GAUGAACGCUAGCGGGAGGCCUAACACAUGCAAGCCGAGCGGUAUUGUUUCUUCGGAAAUGAGAGAGCGGCGUACGGUGCGGAACACGUGUGCAACCUGCCUUUAUCUGGGGAUAGCCUUUCGAAAGGAAGAUUAAUACUCCAUAAUAUAUUGAACGGCAUCGUUUAAUAUUGAAAGCUCCGGCGGAUAGAGAUGGGCACGCGCAAGAUUAGCUAGUUGGUGAGGUAACGGCUCACCAAGGCAAUGAUCUUUAGGGGGCCUGAGAGGGUGAUCCCCCACACUGGUACUGAGACACGGACCAGACUCCUACGGGAGGCAGCAGUGAGGAAUAUUGGUCAAUGGGUGCAAGCCUGAACCAGCCAUCCCGCGUGAAGGACGACUGCCCUAUGGGUUGUAAACUUCUUUGUAUAGGGAUAAACCUACUCUCGUGAGGGUAGCCGAAGGUACUAUACGAAUAAGCACCGGCUAACUCCGUGCCAGCAGCCGCGGUAAU
Molecule: ribosomal RNA, 493 nt
Filed under: uncultured bacterium
Lineage: Bacteria
Description: bacterial SSU rRNA
Rfam family: Bacterial small subunit ribosomal RNA
Source: RNAcentral